Molecule: unclassified non-coding RNA, 193 nt
Filed under: uncultured Chaetomium
Lineage: Eukaryota; Fungi; Ascomycota; Sordariomycetes; Sordariales; Chaetomiaceae
Description: partial internal transcribed spacer 2
Source: RNAcentral
CAACCAUCAAGCCCCCGGCUUGUGUUGGGGACCUGCGGCUGCCGCAGGCCCUGAAAACCAGUGGCGGGCUCGCUAGUCACUCCGAGCGUAGUAGUAUUAUCUCGCUCAGGGCGUGCUGCGGGUUCCGGCCGUUAAAAAGCCUUUUUUACUUAAUUUUGUUUUUUUUUUUUUUAGGAAGACCCGCUGAACUUAA